RNAcentral lists this long non-coding RNA (1525 nucleotides) under Medicago truncatula (barrel medic). RNAcentral describes it as "lncRNA gene49492". The record is from RNAcentral. Lineage: Eukaryota; Viridiplantae; Streptophyta; Magnoliopsida; Fabales; Fabaceae.
CGUCACUUUUAUUUUUUGUUACGAGAUCUUCGCUUUAAUUCUUUUUUUUUUUUUUGGUCAAGUAGCCUAGUGGCUAGAGCUCACACAAUUUAAUUGUGGAGAAGUGGAGUGUCCGGGGUUCGAACCCCGACUCCUGCAUAUAAUAUGCAAUAUCCCUACCAACUGAGCUAUGCUCACGGGGAUCGCUUUAAUUCUAAUUCUAUAAGAAUAAGAAUAAAUAAAAGCAAGUUUCCCCUAAACAAUUUUUUUUUGUAAAAAGAAUAAAAAUGAAAGGCUAUUAUCUAUAGAAAAGGUGCGUACGUUAAAAAAAGAAUAAAAGUGAAAGGCUACUUUUUAUAGGAAAGGUGCGUACGUUAGUACAAUCCCUAAAACCAAAAAAAGUUCAAAACCAGCGCAAAAUAGUAAAAAUAUAAUAGACCAUAGAACAAACAAGUUAAGCCUUCUCAGUCAUACCAUAUCCGUUUACCCUAAAAAUCGCACAGGCCACCAUGGCCUAUAACUCGUGAGCAUGCGCAAAUUAGCAUUAGUAGUGGCUUAGGUGCAUGCAUGAUAUGAUUUUGAUAAAGACAAAAGGAAAACCCUCAUAAUUGAUUAUAGACUAUUAGACCAGAAGAAAAGAAAAAAAAAAAAAUUUGAAUUUGAUAAAACACAGAUUGCUUUCAAUCAAAAGAUAGUACAUAGUAUACAGAUACGAUUAGAUCUAGUCAAGGUUGAAAGCAGUAAAAAAAGAUUGACACUUUUAAUCAAUUUCUUAAUACUUUAAAAACAUUUUUGUGAAGUGACGAAGAAAAAGUACUUACCGGAGCCAAAAGCGUGGCUUUGACAAUAGCAGAAGCUAACAUGGUUACAAGAGCUUCCGCGGCGUACGUUAACGCGCCAAAACGGAGCGUGGCGUCCAUCAUCGAACUCUGCUGUUCAGUUUCCAUUUCGUACGACAAACAAACAAGUCCCUUCUUCUCUCAAACCACAAAACGAAUAUUAUCCUGUAAAUAAUUAAUUAAUAAUUAAUUAAAUCAUAUCACCAUCACCGUUAGCUAGAUCAUCUCAGAAAUCACGACAGUUGCUGCUCUUUUUUCAGAAAUCAUGACACCAAUUAUUACUUUAAUUUUUUUUUAAUAAAAUUAAUUUUAACAAAUAUUUCUCCUUAAACCAUACAAAACAUAAAUUAUACAAUAGUCUCAAUUGUAUAAAAAUUCACUAAAAUUAUUUAACGAAGAAUUAAAACUAAUUAGGAAAGCAUAAGAACAACAGUUAGAAUUUUGCUUUUUUAAAGUGAAACAUGAAUAAGCUAAACAACUCACCAAAAGUGGAAGUGUUUGAGCAAAAAAGAGGGGAAAAAAACUUUCAGAAGCAGAAAUUUCAACGCAUAAACUGAGAAAUUGAAAAUUAAGCAUAAAAAAAAAGUGAAUUAAGAAGAAAAAGGUGAGAAUUGAAGAGAAGAAAGAUGAGAGAGGUUACCAGAAAGGAAGAUCUAGAGACUGAGAAGCAAGAUCUGAGGGUUUGAAGAACUAAAACCUCUGAAAAA